UGCAAGUCGAGCGGAAACGAUGGGAGCUUGCUCCCAGGCGUCGAGCGGCGGACGGGUGAGUAAUGCAUAGGAAUCUGCCCGGUAGUGGGGGAUAACCUGGGGAAACUCAGGCUAAUACCGCAUACGUCCUACGGGAGAAAGCAGGGGAUCUUCGGACCUUGCGCUAUCGGAUGAGCCUAUGUCGGAUUAGCUUGUUGGUGAGGUAACGGCUCACCAAGGCGACGAUCCGUAGCUGGUCUGAGAGGAUGAUCAGCCACAUCGGGACUGAGACACGGCCCGAACUCCUACGGGAGGCAGCAGUGGGGAAUAUUGGACAAUGGGCGCAAGCCUGAUCCAGCCAUGCCGCGUGUGUGAAGAAGGCUUUCGGGUUGUAAAGCACUUUCAGUGAGGAAGAAGGCCUUGGGGCUAAUACCCCCGAGGAAGGACAUCACUCACAGAAGAAGCACCGGCUAACUCCGUGCCAGCAGCCGCGGUAAUACGGAGGGUGCGAGCGUUAAUCGGAAUUACUGGGCGUAAAGCGCGCGUAGGCGGCGUGAUAAGCCGGUUGUGAAAGCCCCGGGCUCAACCUGGGAACGGCAUCCGGAACUGUCAGGCUAGAGUGCAGGAGAGGAAGGUAGAAUUCCCGGUGUAGCGGUGAAAUGCGUAGAGAUCGGGAGGAAUACCAGUGGCGAAGGCGGCCUUCUGGACUGACACUGACNCUGAGGUGCGAAAGCGUGGGUAGCAAACAGGAUUAGAUACCCUGGUAGUCCACGCCGUAAACGAUGUCGACUACCCGUUGGGGUCCUAGAGACCUUUGUGGCGCAGUUAACGCGAUAAGUCGACCGCCUGGGGAGUACNGCCGCAAGGUUAAAACUCAUAUGAAUUGACGGGGGCCCGCACAANCGGUGGAGCAUGUGGUUUAAUUCUAUGCAACGCGNAGAACCUUACCUACCCUUGACAUCGUGCGAACUUGAUAGAGAUACCUUGNUGCCUUC
This 974-nucleotide ribosomal RNA is filed under the name Halomonas sp. Its description in RNAcentral is "bacterial SSU rRNA". It matches the Rfam family "Bacterial small subunit ribosomal RNA", at positions 56 to 1021 of the family's 1533-position model. The record is from RNAcentral. Lineage: Bacteria; Pseudomonadati; Pseudomonadota; Gammaproteobacteria; Oceanospirillales; Halomonadaceae.